This is a long non-coding RNA of Engraulis encrasicolus (European anchovy), 714 nucleotides long. RefSeq lists it as uncharacterized. The transcript is spliced from 4 exons. The record is from RefSeq and is a predicted model, not a curated record. NCBI's taxonomy places the organism in Eukaryota, Metazoa, Chordata, Actinopteri, Clupeiformes, Engraulidae.
CGUGACCUUCCUUCCUCCCCCGAUAGGAAUCGGUGACGAGGAUUAAGCCUCACGAGAGGCUGGAUUCAGAGUUCAACGACAUCUGCGAGGGAAAGGGCGAUUUGUUCAUCAGAAGAUGGGAUGCCAUCAUCAUUCCACAUCUGAUCGAUGUUGCGCUUAAGGAGAAAAGUGAAAUUGCUGCCCUCGUUCAGGGAGUGAGACAGACCUUACAGAUGAUGAGAAGACCUACAAGAUGUUGGUUGUACUAACUCGUCUUCUGCCUCCAGUCGCUGCAGUGUCAAGUCGGCAAUCACCCAUCUUAUUGAUUUUGUACCCACUGGAACUAACAUCUCAACACUCUGUGAUGCCACUGAGUCUGAGGGCAAAGCACUCCAGCCGCAUCUCGUUUCUGUUGGUCGCUUCGAGGAUGCAGCACAGCAGUACGUCAUCGUUGGGAAGAGUGACAAAGUCAUCAUUCCACUGGACGAAGAUCUCACUGGUGCUGUGGACAAACUGUUCAAGGUCUUCUGGGUCUGCAACCUUUCAUAUCCACCUGAACUCUCCUCAGUUUUUGCAUUCUUGGAGUAUGUCUACAAUAUCCCUCUCUCCACAACCAGGAAGGCGCGGGUAAUGGACCUAAUUUCCAAAAUGAACUCAGUUCAGUAAUCAGAACAGCAAUGUAUAUUUGUCCAAAAUGCAAUAUGUACUUCAAGCAGAGUAAGAUUCUGAUUUGGC